Molecule: ribosomal RNA, 468 nt
Filed under: uncultured bacterium
Lineage: Bacteria
Description: partial 16S ribosomal RNA
Rfam family: Bacterial small subunit ribosomal RNA
Source: RNAcentral
GACGAACGCUGGCGGCGUGCUUAACACAUGCAAGUCGAACGGAAAGGCCCUGCUUUUGUGGGGUGCUCGAGUGGCGAACGGGUGAGUAACACGUGAGUAACCUGCCCUUGAUUUUGGGAUAACUUCAGGAAACUGGGGCUAAUACCGGAUAGGAGCGCCUGCUGCAUGGUGGGGGUUGGAAAGUUUCGGCGGUUGGGGAUGGACUCGCGGCUUAUCAGCUUGCUGGUGGGGUAGUGGCUUACCAAGGCUUUGACGGGUAGCCGGCCUGAGAGGGUGACCGGCAACAUUGGGACUCAGAUACGGCCCAGACUCCUACGGGAGGCAGCAGUGGGGAAGAGUGCACGAUGGGCGGAAGCCUGAUGCAGCAACGCCGCGUGCGGGAUGACGGCCUUCGGGUUGUCAACCGCUUUCGCCUGUGACGAAGCGUGAGUGACGGUAAUGGAUAAAGAAGCACCGGCUAACUACGUG